GUAGGUGGCAAGCGUUGUCCGGAAUUAUUGGGCGUAAAGCGCGCGCAGGCGGUUCUUUAAGUCUGAUGUGAAAGCCCACGGCUCAACCGUGGAGGGUCAUUGGAAACUGGAGAACUUGAGUACAGAGAGGAAAGCGGAAUUCCACGUGUAGCGGUGAAAUGCGUAGAGAUGUGGAGGAACACCAGUGGCGAAGGCGGCUUUCUGGUCUGUAAACUGACGCUGAGGCGCGAAAGCGUGGGGGGAGCAAACAGGAUUAGAUACCCUGGUAGUCCACGCCGUAAACGAUGAGUGCUAAGUGUUAGGGGGGUUUUCCCGCCCCUUAGUGCUGCAGCUAACGCAUUAAGCACUCCGCCUGGGAGUACGGCCGCAAGGCUG
Molecule: ribosomal RNA, 375 nt
Filed under: uncultured organism
Description: partial 16S ribosomal RNA
Rfam family: Bacterial small subunit ribosomal RNA
Source: RNAcentral